UGGGGAGUCGCCAAGUGGUAAGGCAACGGACUUUGACUCCGUCAUUCGUAGGUUCGAUCCCUACCUCCCCAGCCA
This 75-nucleotide transfer RNA is filed under the name Ferroacidibacillus organovorans. RNAcentral's name for it is "Acidibacillus ferrooxidans tRNA-Gln". It matches the Rfam family "tRNA". Rfam says of the family: Transfer RNA (tRNA) molecules are approximately 80 nucleotides in length. Their secondary structure includes four short double-helical elements and three loops (D, anti-codon, and T loops). Lineage: Bacteria; Bacillati; Bacillota; Bacilli; Caryophanales; Alicyclobacillaceae. The record is from RNAcentral.